RNAcentral lists this small RNA (332 nucleotides) under Histoplasma ohiense. RNAcentral describes it as "hypothetical lncRNA". Lineage: Eukaryota; Fungi; Ascomycota; Eurotiomycetes; Onygenales; Ajellomycetaceae. The record is from RNAcentral.
CUGCCUCAAUAUCUGACUCUUCUAUCUAAAUCCCUUCCGAGAUGACACCAUAUUACCUUAUAUAGCUCUGUCCUCGUGGGGUCCUGGGGACCUCCCCUGGAUAGGCAGUGGGACCUGGUCUUAAUAUUGGACUUUUCAAUAUCAGCUUUUGGGCUGGGGCUUCUUGGGAUCUUAUUCUCUAUUAAAUAUAUGUAGAAGUAAUUGGAUUGGCUGGUUAUUAGAUUUUGAAGAUGGAAUAAUAUAUAUUUAAUGAGAAUAACAUUGAGAUGGCAGAUAUGAGGGUCUGAACCAGGGGUUGAGGUGAGCGGUAGCUUACAAAUCAUCUAGGGCCC